GUAAGAACCAUAUCUUUCUUGAUCUGAAGAUGUGGCUUAGAUAUACUGUGCCCAGUGGGCCACUUUUGGUAAGCAGAACUGGCGCUGUGGGAUGAACCAAACGUGAUGUUACGGCGCCUAAAUUAAUGACUUAUAUUGAUACCAUGAAAGGCGUUGGUUGCUUAAAACAGCAGGACGGUGGACAUGGAAGUCGUAAUCCGCUAAGGAGUGUGUAACAACUCACCUGCCGAAGCAACUAGCCCUUAAAAUGGAUGGCGCUCAAGUCAUAUGCCUAUACAUCACCGCUAAAAUAGAGUGGUUUUUGCCGUUUUUAAUGGUAAAAAUUAAUGAAAUUUUAGUGAGUAGGAGGGUACAAUGGUGUGCGCAGAAGUGUUUGACGUGAGUCUGCAUGGAGCCGCCAUUGGCACAGAUCUUGGUGGUAGUAGCAAAUAAUCGAAUGAGAUCUUGGAGGACUGAAGUGGAGAAGGGUUUCGUGUGAACAGUGGUUGAUCACGAGUUAGUCGGUCCUAAGCUCUAUGCGAAAGCUGUUUAAUUUAUGUUACAAAGCAAAAUAUAUCUUUUAUAAUAUAUAGAUACAUAAUUUAUUCAGAGCGAAAGGGAAUACGGUUCCAAUUCCGUAACCUGUUGAGUAUACGUUUGUUUAUUAAAAAUGGGUUCUAAUCACACUCAUCCUGGUAACAGGAACAACCAUAGAGAAGCCUUCGAGAGAUACUGGAAGAGUUUUCUUUUCUGUUGAACAAUCGUAUCACCAUGGAAGUCUUUCACAGAGAGAUAUGGUGAAUGGAUUGGAAGAGCAUGACAUUUACUGUUGUGUCAGUAUUUUCUCCUUGGACCUUGAAAAUCUAUGGUAGGGCCACGCAAACCUCUCAACAGACCGUACCGAUAUCCGCAGCCGGUCUCCAA
RNAcentral lists this ribosomal RNA (903 nucleotides) under Azana anomala. RNAcentral's name for it is "partial 28S ribosomal RNA". It matches the Rfam family "Eukaryotic large subunit ribosomal RNA", at positions 1073 to 1870 of the family's 3401-position model. Lineage: Eukaryota; Metazoa; Arthropoda; Insecta; Diptera; Mycetophilidae. The record is from RNAcentral.